GCCGACAUAGCACAACUGGUAGUGCAACUGAUUUGUAAUCAGUAGGUUCGGGGUUCAAGUCCUCGUGUCGGCACCA
RNAcentral lists this transfer RNA (76 nucleotides) under Gammaproteobacteria bacterium. Its description in RNAcentral is "tRNA-Thr". It matches the Rfam family "tRNA". From Rfam's summary of the family: Transfer RNA (tRNA) molecules are approximately 80 nucleotides in length. Their secondary structure includes four short double-helical elements and three loops (D, anti-codon, and T loops). RNAcentral also lists the same sequence under 5 other names. Lineage: Bacteria; Pseudomonadati; Pseudomonadota; Gammaproteobacteria. The record is from RNAcentral.